Molecule: ribosomal RNA, 253 nt
Filed under: uncultured bacterium
Lineage: Bacteria
Description: partial 16S ribosomal RNA
Rfam family: Bacterial small subunit ribosomal RNA
Source: RNAcentral
UACGUAGGGGGCAAGCGUUGUCCGGAUUUAUUGGGCGUAAAGAGCGUGUAGGCGGCUAGGUAGGUCCGUUGUGAAAACUCGAGGCUUAACCUCGAGCUGUCGGCGGAAACCAUCUGGCUAGAGUCCGGAAGAGGAGAAUGGAAUUCCCGGUGUAGCGGUGAAAUGCGCAGAUAUCGGGAAGAACACCCGUGGCGAAGGCGGCAUCCUGGACCAUUACUGACACUGAAAAGCGAAAGCCAGGGGAGCAAACGGG